RNAcentral lists this unclassified non-coding RNA (295 nucleotides) under Shimia aestuarii. RNAcentral describes it as "Long range pseudoknot". Lineage: Bacteria; Pseudomonadati; Pseudomonadota; Alphaproteobacteria; Rhodobacterales; Roseobacteraceae. The record is from RNAcentral.
ACCCAUGACUACGACGUGAAGAUGCGCAACGUGGUCAAAUUCCUUGAGAAAGGCGACAAGGUCAAAGUCACCCUGCGCUUCCGUGGUCGCGAAAUGGCCCACCAGAACCUCGGGCGCGAACUGCUCGAACGUGUGGCCGAAGACAUCAAGGAAAUCGGCAAGGUUGAAAACAUGCCCAAGAUGGAAGGCCGCCAGAUGAUCAUGAUGAUCGGCCCCCUGUCCAAGUAAGUCCGACACAGAAUGUCGGAUACGGGAACCCCUCGCUUCGUGAACAAGCGGGGGGUUUCUUUUUUGA